This 2892-nucleotide ribosomal RNA is filed under the name Pseudomonas syringae pv. syringae. RNAcentral's name for it is "bacterial LSU rRNA". It matches the Rfam family "Bacterial large subunit ribosomal RNA". The record is from RNAcentral. Lineage: Bacteria; Pseudomonadati; Pseudomonadota; Gammaproteobacteria; Pseudomonadales; Pseudomonadaceae.
UCAAGUGAAGAAGCGCAUACGGUGGAUGCCUUGGCAGUCAGAGGCGAUGAAAGACGUGGUAGCCUGCGAAAAGCUUCGGGGAGUCGGCAAACAGACUGUGAUCCGGAGAUGUCUGAAUGGGGGAACCCAGCCAUCAUAAGAUGGUUAUCUUGUACUGAAUACAUAGGUGCAAGAGGCGAACCAGGGGAACUGAAACAUCUAAGUACCCUGAGGAAAAGAAAUCAACCGAGAUUCCCUUAGUAGUGGCGAGCGAACGGGGACCAGCCCUUAAGUUGUAUUGAGAUUAGCGGAACGUUCUGGAAAGGACGGCCAUAGUGGGUGAUAGCCCUGUACGCGAAAAUCCCUUUGCAAUGAAAUCGAGUAGGACGGGGCACGAGAAACCUUGUCUGAAUAUGGGGGGACCAUCCUCCAAGGCUAAAUACUACUGACUGACCGAUAGUGAACCAGUACCGUGAGGGAAAGGCGAAAAGAACCGCGGAGAGCGGAGUGAAAUAGAUCCUGAAACCGUAUGCGUACAAGCAGUGGGAGCCCACUUUGUUGGGUGACUGCGUACCUUUUGUAUAAUGGGUCAGCGACUUAUUUUCAGUGGCGAGCUUAACCGAAUAGGGGAGGCGUAGCGAAAGCGAGUCUUAAUAGGGCGUCUAGUCGCUGGGAAUAGACCCGAAACCGGGCGAUCUAUCCAUGGGCAGGUUGAAGGUUGGGUAACACUAACUGGAGGACCGAACCGACUACCGUUGAAAAGUUAGCGGAUGACCUGUGGAUCGGAGUGAAAGGCUAAUCAAGCUCGGAGAUAGCUGGUUCUCCUCGAAAGCUAUUUAGGUAGCGCCUCAUGUAUCACUGUAGGGGGUAGAGCACUGUUUCGGCUAGGGGGUCAUCCCGACUUACCAAACCGAUGCAAACUCCGAAUACCUACAAGUGCCGAGCAUGGGAGACACACGGCGGGUGCUAACGUCCGUCGUGAAAAGGGAAACAACCCAGACCGUCAGCUAAGGUCCCAAAGUCAUGGUUAAGUGGGAAACGAUGUGGGAAGGCUUAGACAGCUAGGAGGUUGGCUUAGAAGCAGCCACCCUUUAAAGAAAGCGUAAUAGCUCACUAGUCGAGUCGGCCUGCGCGGAAGAUGUAACGGGGCUCAAACCAUGCACCGAAGCUACGGGUAUCAUCUUUUGAUGAUGCGGUAGAGGAGCGUUCUGUAAGCCUGUGAAGGUGAGUUGAGAAGCUUGCUGGAGGUAUCAGAAGUGCGAAUGCUGACAUGAGUAACGACAAUGGGUGUGAAAAACACCCACGCCGAAAGACCAAGGUUUCCUGCGCAACGUUAAUCGACGCAGGGUUAGUCGGUCCCUAAGGCGAGGCUGAAAAGCGUAGUCGAUGGAAAACAGGUUAAUAUUCCUGUACUUCUGGUUAUUGCGAUGGAGGGACGGAGAAGGCUAGGCCAGCCUGGCGUUGGUAGUCCAGGUUUAAGGUGGUAGGCUGAGAUCUUAGGUAAAUCCGGGAUCUUAAGGCCGAGAGCUGAUGACGAGUGUUCUUUUAGAACACGAAGUGGUUGAUGCCAUGCUUCCAAGAAAAGCUUCUAAGCUUCAGGUAACCAGGAACCGUACCCCAAACCGACACAGGUGGUUGGGUAGAGAAUACCAAGGCGCUUGAGAGAACUCGGGUGAAGGAACUAGGCAAAAUGGCACCGUAACUUCGGGAGAAGGUGCGCCGGUGAGGGUGAAGCAUUUACUGCGUAAGCCCAUGCCGGUCGAAGAUACCAGGCCGCUGCGACUGUUUAUUAAAAACACAGCACUCUGCAAACACGAAAGUGGACGUAUAGGGUGUGACGCCUGCCCGGUGCCGGAAGGUUAAUUGAUGGGGUUAGCGCAAGCGAAGCUCUUGAUCGAAGCCCCGGUAAACGGCGGCCGUAACUAUAACGGUCCUAAGGUAGCGAAAUUCCUUGUCGGGUAAGUUCCGACCUGCACGAAUGGCGUAACGAUGGCGGCGCUGUCUCCACCCGAGACUCAGUGAAAUUGAAAUCGCUGUGAAGAUGCAGUGUAUCCGCGGCUAGACGGAAAGACCCCGUGAACCUUUACUAUAGCUUUGCACUGGACUUUGAAUUUGCUUGUGUAGGAUAGGUGGGAGGCUUUGAAGCGUGGACGCCAGUCUGCGUGGAGCCAACCUUGAAAUACCACCCUGGCAACUUUGAGGUUCUAACUCAGGUCCGUUAUCCGGAUCGAGGACAGUGUAUGGUGGGUAGUUUGACUGGGGCGGUCUCCUCCUAAAGAGUAACGGAGGAGUACGAAGGUGCGCUCAGACCGGUCGGAAAUCGGUCGUAGAGUAUAAAGGCAAAAGCGCGCUUGACUGCGAGACAGACACGUCGAGCAGGUACGAAAGUAGGUCUUAGUGAUCCGGUGGUUCUGUAUGGAAGGGCCAUCGCUCAACGGAUAAAAGGUACUCCGGGGAUAACAGGCUGAUACCGCCCAAGAGUUCAUAUCGACGGCGGUGUUUGGCACCUCGAUGUCGGCUCAUCACAUCCUGGGGCUGAAGCCGGUCCCAAGGGUAUGGCUGUUCGCCAUUUAAAGUGGUACGCGAGCUGGGUUUAGAACGUCGUGAGACAGUUCGGUCCCUAUCUGCCGUGGACGUUUGAGAUUUGAGAGGGGCUGCUCCUAGUACGAGAGGACCGGAGUGGACGAACCUCUGGUGUUCCGGUUGUCACGCCAGUGGCAUUGCCGGGUAGCUAUGUUCGGAAAAGAUAACCGCUGAAAGCAUCUAAGCGGGAAACUUGCCUCAAGAUGAGAUCUCACUGGAACCUUGAGUUCCCUAAAGGGCCGUCGAAGACUACGACGUUGAUAGGUUGGGUGUGUAAGCGCUGUGAGGCGUUGAGCUAACCAAUACUAAUUGCCCGUGAGGCUUGACCAU